UGGGGAAUAUUGGACAAUGGGCGCAAGCCUGAUCCAGCCAUGCCGCGUGAGUGAUAAAGGCCCUAGGGUUGUAAAGCUCUUUCACCGGUGAAGAUAAUGACGGUAACCGGAGAAGAAGCCCCGGCUAACUUCGUGCCAGCAGCCGCGGUAAUACGAAGGGGGCUAGCGUUGUUCGGAUUUACUGGGCGUAAAGCGCACGUAGGCGGACUUUUAAGUCAGGGGUGAAAUCCCGGGGCUCAACCCCGGAACUGCCUUUGAUACUGGAAGUCUUGAGUAUGGUAGAGGUGAGUGGAAUUCCGAGUGUAGAGGUGAAAUUCGUAGAUAUUCGGAGGAACACCAGUGGCGAAGGCGGCUCACUGGACCAUUACUGACGCUGAGGUGCGAAAGCGUGGGGAGCAAACAGG
Molecule: ribosomal RNA, 404 nt
Filed under: Brucella melitensis
Lineage: Bacteria; Pseudomonadati; Pseudomonadota; Alphaproteobacteria; Hyphomicrobiales; Brucellaceae
Also listed under: 1 other name
Description: partial 16S ribosomal RNA
Rfam family: Bacterial small subunit ribosomal RNA
Source: RNAcentral